UAAUUUCAAAUAAAGGCCUCAGUGAGGGCUCACGCAUCUCGCAAGCACUUUUCAAGUUACUAUUAAGGGCAUUUUAGUCCAAGGGUUUUUUUCUUUAUUUAUUCUCUAUUCUUCUUCUUUCUUCUUCCUACAGCUGACUCUCCAAUUCAUCUUCUUUCUUUCCCUCCUUUUCUUCUUCCUUAGCAUGCUGAACGAAACUCCUUCGCCAUGAACAAAAGCACAAAGUAGAAUCGAUAUCCAAGUCGGUUUAAAUCAACUAGUAAAAAGAGUCUCGACUGAAUAGUAGCAGAAGGAAGAAUUAUCAAUAAGUCAAAAAUGAUUAUGUCUCUUUGUGCUUACAACCAAAGAUUGAUAUGAACCAAGAGAAGCAAAAAUUGAAAUUCUCAACCAUUUCGAGUCAAAGAUGGAUUGGAAUGGAGACAAAGAAUUAUGUCCUAUUGUGCUUACAACCAAACCAAAAAAAAAAAAAUGUAUGGACCCGAAAUUCGCUGAAAAUUAAAGAGGUGAAGGAGAAUUGUUUGUUUAUAUAGGAUGGGAUGUUUGUGGGAGGUGGGAAAAUUCUGUAAAAAGAUGUUUAUGGCCUCCUCUCGAUGAUGAUCGCUCUUCCUCAAGUGCACACUCACACAUGAGUCCUUCCUAUUGCCUUCCCUAGCUCUCACCACCUAAAGCAUCGACUGCUCGCCGCCACUCCGGUACAUUCUCCGCGGAAACGUGAUGGAGCUGAGUGACGAACGACUCAUGGGGUUUCACUGGCAAACUGGGGCUUCCGGUUCCACGGGAGGACUGACUAGGUUCUUCUUGACGGAUUCGGGGAGGCUUUGUUCUAGACGUUGAUUUAUCCUGGAGAAUGCACUAGGUUUCUGAUGGGCCGAGAAGGCGAGUGCAAAUCUGUACGUGAGUCCUCAAGCCAAUCAAGGUCCCUGUACCUUUUGAUUCAUUCAAGCACAGAGCCCGAUUGUUCUUUAUUUUAAAGAUGAUGCUCUGUUAUUACGUUUUUGGAUUUGAAAGUUGUUGUUUACAUUUGCAAGUUUUGGCUUUUGGGUAUUUAUGUAUCGCAUCCUUCCAGAAGUUAGUGCUUCUUCUUGAUGAGAUAACAGUGGACCUCAGUGUGUUAGCAAGGGCUGAUCUUUUGAAGUUCCGCAGAAAGGAAUGUGAACAGACAGGAUCGAUAAUUAUCCACGCCACCCAUAUUUUUUAUGGCCUAGAUGAUUGGCCCACA
This is a long non-coding RNA of Eucalyptus grandis, 1219 nucleotides long. RefSeq lists it as uncharacterized. The transcript has 2 exons. The record is from RefSeq and is a predicted model, not a curated record. NCBI's taxonomy places the organism in Eukaryota, Viridiplantae, Streptophyta, Magnoliopsida, Myrtales, Myrtaceae.